This 230-nucleotide ribosomal RNA is filed under the name uncultured Bacteroidales bacterium. RNAcentral describes it as "partial 16S ribosomal RNA". It matches the Rfam family "Bacterial small subunit ribosomal RNA", at positions 104 to 334 of the family's 1533-position model. The record is from RNAcentral. Lineage: Bacteria; Pseudomonadati; Bacteroidota; Bacteroidia; Bacteroidales.
GGGUGAGUAACGCGUAUCCAACCUGCCCAUCACAAGGGAAUAACCCGUCGAAAGUCGGCCUAAUGCCCUAUGUAUUCCGAUGAAGUCCUCUGAAUCGGAAUAAAGCAUUUGCGGUGAUGGAUGGGGAUGCGUCUGAUUAGCUUGUCGGCGGGGUAACGGCCCACCGAGGCGACGAUCAGUAGGGGUUCUGAGAGGAAGGUCCCCCACAUUGGAACUGAGACACGGUCCAA